GAUUGCAUAUUUGGAGAGGAGCACUAUGACGACAACCUCCGGAACCUAGGCAUCGAAGAUAGCGGACACGCGAGAUAGGAGUUAUCCAGGUCAGUCUAUGAAUCGCUUCCGCCAUCAGCCACUAGAAACCUUUGUUGUACUCCAUAGACCAUCAUGGUCUUGUACUCCAAAUUUUGUAAAUGCUUGGAUAUUUUGUAUCAAGGAUGUGUCCAUCAGCUAACCUUGGAUAUUUUGUAUCAAGGAUGUGUCCAUCAGCUAACCUUGGUAUCAGUAAUCUCGGGGAUGGUGAGCACAAAGGUCAUUUUUUGGGAAAUUUAUAUCUCGGAAAUCCGGCCCUGAUAACCUUAGUAUCAGAGCCAGUCUAACCAUUGGCUAAUCCUAUCUUAGCCGGGUCAAUAAACCCUAGGUUACCACCCAUCCAAGCCUUAUCCUACCCAUAGCCAAGCCUAUCCUAACUGAUAGCAUGUAUAGUGAUAAUCAUCACCUUUCAGCAGCCGAUGCCCAACCGAUGAGACUAGCCGAGCGGUCACAUGCCUGUGACCAACACCUGAGUUGUCCCAUCCGCAAGUGUGCAAGAGAAGAUUAUGUUUUCUUUCUAUAAAGGAAACGUUUUCUCCAACCCACUACACCACAACCACCUUCCAAAUCCCAAACCGCCAAGAUGUCGGUCCCCGUUGUAUACAAUGAGACCACCGCAUCUGAGCUUGGAGAUUUUGUAGAUGUUCUUGCCAACCUCAGCUGUCGUGGCUUUACCAUAGAAGAGCCCCUGGAAUAUGUUGUGUACCAGCAGCACACGAGUAAUGGCAUCCAUCACUUCCGGGCAAUGGUGCACAUCUACGACAGGGGUAUCUCGCCAGAAUGCCCUUACCAGUUCACCAGAAGGACAACUUCCUAUGAGCCACAAGCCAUCCAGCUAGCAGCUCAACAGGCUAUAGUUCAAAACCGGCACGUGUCAUCGAGGGUUAACUGCCGCUCGUUUUACUACUACCCCUAGCCAUGAAAGUAAUACUAGGCCGCUCCAAAUCGCCAACGGAGACCAUGAGACGGACCCCACCCCGUUGCAUCUUGUGCGCUACAUGAGAGCACAAGAGGCACUGUUCAAGUAGGUCACCGUCGACCUGAUUGCAACUCACGGAAAGCUAGCUCGCCUCACCCCGAGAAGAAGAGAAGCUGCACCCGAUGCCACCAAACCAAUGAUGUUGUUCGGGAGAUCGAUCGAGCCCUCGAGGUCUAUGCCUGCUGCCGACCCAAAUCAUGCGUCCGUCUCCGUGGAAGAGCUCCGUCACAUUUUGGGGAUUUUCUCCAACGGGACGGUAACCACCGCACCCCGUGAUGGACAUCAUCGCUACCCCAGCCAUGUAACUCCACAUUCUACCCGAGUCGACCGCGACAUCGAAGUCCCAGAAGCCUCGACGUCCGCAAGUCCCGCCCGACUAGAUGUCAAGGAAGUAGACUAAGCCACUAGAGUAGUAACCCAAAUUUAGUAUUCCUACGCCCUGCAAUAUUGUGAGCUUGUAUUUUCAUGAGUAAAUUGCAGGACAUUUGUGUACCAUUAUUUUUAAAUAGGACCACCUGUACCUGUGUAAGUAUCUUUUGACUUCUAUCUAUAAAGAAAAAAUUGGGUGAAACAACCAGGAACCAACCUGGUCGACAACCAUAGUAAUAUGUCACAUUUAGUGAAUUAUAUGUGUGGCUUUGACCCGACCACGUUAGAGCAUAACGACAACCGAGAUCGACCACCCUGAAAUGUGUGCGCUAGCCAAACCCUAUAUAAGGAGUCACCCAAUAACCAUCCCCAGCGCCCUCACCUUGUGCAUUGCCUUCACAACCAUUUUUCCCCAUGUCGCGCCUUGGGAUUCAUUUGAGAACCCCGGGGAGUUUUGCUAAGAUAUUGUGGGAUUUUACCCACAGUGCCAUGGGUUGUCCCCACCGACCCUAGUACGAACUGUUCAAAUUAAGGAUCACUUCCACCACCACAAAAAAUUGGGCCGUUGCGCAGAUCCCACCAGUAGAUCCAAACCAAGACCCUACGAAAGUUUCCUUCAUCGGGAAAUGUAUGCCCACUCCAGAAAUGGUCAUAGAGGUUGCUGCCUGCGAAGCAAUUACCCGCCUUCAAUUUGCAGUACCCUAUGCCAGUGAAUUGGGGUAUUAUUACUUUUCGAGCCCUGUAGCACCCAGAGAAGCAGCGUCUUUUCCCAGCACCCGAGCAAAGAGAGAUUCGGUGUUAUCAAGCUUGUGCAGUAUGUCAUCGCUCAAGAGCGUUUGACCCAGCAAGUGAUGGAUUUCCUUCAUACCAUUGUUGUUAUGAAUCCUCAUAUCGCCAUUGGCAGGCCUCUAAGGCCAAACCAAGAAGGACACGUUGUGCGAGUCCUCCAUCCGCUCUCCCCGAAGGACGAAGGAUAUACCCCACUCCCGGGAAUAUUUCCUCAUGACCUAUAUUUUUUUCCUGUACCGUAGACGCCAUGGUUGUAAUCAUUAGCAUAGCUUUUGAUUGUAUGAUGUGAUAUCUGUGUUGUGUUUUAUAAUUUACUAUAUGGGUAUCUUAUGUCAAUUGCAGUUGUUUUGUUGCUAUGAUUUGAAAAUCGAUUGUUUCUUAUUGUAGCAAAUCUCAGGGUGAGAUUUUAUUAAAAGACCAGUGCGACAAAAACUUUUCCAGCAUAAAUUUAAAUUGCAUGCCCUCACGUGGUCCGGCUCACAUCCACACUAGAGUUGCACCAAUUAUUAACUUUUUCACUGUAACCACGUCACAUAGUGUGAGUAGAAUAUUUAUUCUCAUGUUAUUACUGGAUUGCAGUGGGAGUAAAGCUUUUGCUACCACCUUAGAAAAUCUCAAGGACAAGAUUUUUCUUAAGGGGGUAGAGUUUGUAACACCCCAAAAAAUUUAUCAUGUUUUUAUUAAUUAAAAUUUUGUUAGGGAUAUUAAUUUUUAUUUUCUAGAUCCUCUAUUGGUUUUAGAACCAUCCUUUUUCUUUGAAAUUAUAAAAUUUUCCCCUCCAAAUAGAAACCUUUGAAAAAUAUUGUGCGGCUUGAAUGUUUGAAUUAAAAGUAUUUCAUUUCAUUUUUAAAAAUUCAGGGAGAAAUAUUUUUAUAAUGAAGCUUGCCAAAUUUAAUUAUUUUAAUGGCCUUUUUGAAUUCUUUAAAGGGCCUCCAUUGCACUACAACCAUUUUAAUUAUUCAUUUAAAGACCCCAUAAAAAUUUGGAGAUGUCUUGUGAUGCCUAUAGAUCACUCUUAUGCAAAAACCCAUCUUGGCCUUUUGAAAAUUUUGAGCAAACCAUGCUCAUCUGAAUUAUGUUCCAGUUUAGUGGUUUGAACUGCAACCCUAUUUUAUUUUCCCAUAAUCAUCAUGAGAUAUUUCCUUCUUACAUUCCACCCUACCAACCCCUUAAGUACAUGAGUUUAGCUCCAUUGGACUAUUUUAAGCCCAUGUAAUUAACCUAUGGAGUUCCUGUCUAGAAAUGAAGUUUUGUAAAACUUGCACUAACUAGUUUCUGUUUUUCUCAAACUAACCAUGCCAUCCUCAUUAGCACCUAAAGAGGCUCCAUCAUUCUGUCGAGCACCCUGGGUGCAUGGCGGGAUUUGGCAUGCUCCUAACCUUGCCUUAGAAACUUGUUUCCCUGGCCUAACUAACAUGUCCCCUAGCCUUCCCUUGCCCAUAAACCUAGAACAGUCAAGCCUCAAUUGCAUCUGAGCCCCCUGGCGUAUCCUGGCUUUUUGUUGAACACCGGAUGCACAUGCUCGAAACACGAGAAGAGCACGCGCAUUGUGUUGGGGAACAUUGCACGGGAAACAAAAAAAUUCCUACGCUCACCAAGAUCAAUCUAGGAGAUGCACAUCUACGAGGGGAGAGAUUGUAUCUACAUAUCCUUGUAGAUCGCUAAGAGAAACCUUUAAAGAACGCGGUUGAUGUAGUUGAACGUCUUCGCGAUCCAAAUCGCAAUUCGUCCCGUGAUCCCAUCACGAUCCAUCCUGAUCUAGUGCCGAACGGACGACAUCUCCGCGUUCAGCACACGUACAACUCGAUGGCGUUCUCCGCCUCCUUGAUCCAACAAGCGAGGAAGGAGAGGUUGAUGAGUUCUCUAGCAGCGCGACGGCGUGACAGUGGUGGUGGUGUUGUUGUCCCGGCAGGGCUACACCUAGAUCUAUCGAAGCUGCGAAAACGAUCUAGGGAGAGAGAGGGGCGCCAAGGGCUUCGUGUGUCCUCUCGGGGUGCCCCUCCCCUCUAUAUAUAUAGGUGGAGGGGCGUGGGUGUGACAGCCCGAGACCGACGCCCCAGAAGAUUUCCCUUUUUAUUCCGUUGCCGUCCUGUGAUUAGGUUGUCUGUUGCAUUCAUCUUCGCAUCAUGCACAUCAUCUGCAUUGCAUCGGCACUCCGUUGCCGCCAGUUUUCAAAACUUGCAUCCGUUAUUAGUUGCGGUUCUCUUCGUUCUCGUCGUUGACCGUGUUGAGCCCGACCACACACGCACGUACCCGCGGCAUCGUUAAAAUAUUUGGUUUUAAAAGUGUGUAUAAAAUAUUUCCGGAUUGAGUCGAAACUUGGCGUGCGGUCUUAUUUUAAUAUAGGUAGGCCGCCUGCCAAUUUUCGUCGUAAUCGGAGUUCGUCUGGUACCCGAACGGUCGACCAUAGCGGCACCGUCUUCGGUUAUCGUCGGACGUUUUUCGGUUUUAAAAUAUUGUUGCCGGGUCGCACCAUUCCCAUCUCGUAUCAGCCUACACCCCUCUACACGGCCUAACCUAACCCUAGGACGUUUCCGGAGCGUCCGAUCGAGAUUGGAGAGUCCGAAAACGCCCUGAUUAGCUAACCCUAGCCCAUGUGUCUAUAAAAGACACCAAACUCUUCUUCCACCUCGGUUCCCAUGCCACCCUAACCCUAGCCGUCGCAGCCUCCUCCCACCUUCUCUCUCCUCCCAGCCGCCAGGGCCCGCCAGGCCCGCAGCAGGCCCUCCGGGGCCCGAACCACCGCUGCUAGCCCGCGCACCCAAGCGCCUUCACCCCGAGCGCUGCUCCCGCUCGGCCAUCACCGAGGCAACGCCAGCGCGUUCAGCUCCCGUCACCUCCCCACGCAGGUGCAUCACCGGACCGCCGUGCCGCCCUUGCAGCUCGUCGGAGCUCCACGAGGCCGCCUCGCCUCGCUCCUCUCCCUUCUUCUUCCUUCCUCUUCUUCUCCCUCACGACCUCUCUCUCUUCCGUGAGCCCCGACCAAAGUCCCUACGCCGCGUGGUGCCCUGCCGCCGGUGAUCCAGCCGCUGUCGGAGCCCGUCCGCCGUCGGUUCCUACUGCCGAGUUCCCCCGCACUGCCCCGCGCCAGCGCCACAGCGCCCCGCCUCCUCGAUCCAAUCGGAUAGGGACGGGUAGGAGCGCCUGGCCGUUGACCGCGCCAUGCCAGACUGCGUCCCCGUGGGCCGCCUCCCUGCCUCGCGCGCUCGACCGCGCCAGUCGCCCCCUGGGCCGGCCAGCUUGCCCCUCCGCUGGCCCAGCCGGCCUCCCCUGGUCUUGGCCCAGUCGAACCAAGCCGGCCUGCUCACCUCCUCUCCAGGCCGGCCCAGGAGCCACGGUGAGCUGAUUCCCCCCCAGCCGUCUAUUUAGCGCCCGUGCGCCGUUUAGCUAUCCCGCGCCCAUGUCCUGUUUUGGGCCUGUAGCCAGAUUCUGCCCAGUAGUAUUAUUUUAGGUUUUUUCGGAUUUAUUAUUUUCAGGAAAAGAAGUAUUUUAAAAUGGUCGCAACUUUUAAACGUGCAUCGGGUCGGAAAGAAUUAUAUAUGUAACUUGUGUAGAAUUUCACGUAGAACAUUAUUUUGCAACUUGCAUGCAUGUUUGGAGUGGUUUGACCGUCGUUUUCCUAGAAUAUAUGUGAUGUCCUAUUAGGGUUAUAUUUCCGUAGCUAUUUUUGUGCGCGUCCGGAUUGCUCAAAUUACAUCGAUAAAAUGUUCAUGUUGUUCGGGACCCUUUGCCAUGUAUUUUAGAGUAGUUGCUUGCAUUUUUUGCAUGUAGGAGCUAUCAAUAGUUUGCUAUAUCGUGUUUAGGACAUAUUCUCGCAUAUAUGUGUGACGUUAGUUUUAUUUUGCAACCCCACAUAUUAUAUAUGUUUUCAGGGUAAAAAUCCGUAUAAUUUAACUGUGCAAUUAGUUUUUCCUUUCGAGUAAGUUAGUGCGCGUGAUAUUUCUGCCAUGUUGCCCUCUUGUCUAUUUUGUGGAAUUUAUUCCGUGCAUGAUUGAUACGUCUCCAACUUAUCUACAAUUUUUGAUGGUUCCAUGCUAUUAUCUUAUCAAACUUUGGAUGUUUUGUAUGCCUUUUAUAUUUUUUUGGACUAACUUAUUAACUCAGUGCCAAGUGCCAGUUCAUGUUUUUUUCGUGUUUUUGAUCCCUUUCAGAGGAGGAUUUCAAACAGUGUCCAAACGGAAUAAAACUUCUAAAAAGAUUUUUUCGAAACAGAAGAUACGCACGGGACGUGAGAACCAAGGCAGAGGCCACCAAGGGACGCCACAAGCCCCCUAGGCGCGGCCAGGGGGCCCGCGCCUAGCAGGCUUGUGGGUCCCGUGUGGCUCGUUUGCCCUACCUCUUCCGCCUAUAAAUUCCUGAAAAAUCCAAAACUGCGCGAGAGAUCCACGAAAAUACUUUUCCGCCGCCGCAAGCUUCUGUCUCCGCAAGAUCCCAUCUAAGGCACGUUCUGGUGCCUUGCCGGAGGGGGGAUUCGGAUACAGAGGGCUUCUUCAUCAACACCAUGACCUCUCCGAUGAUGCGUGAUUAGUUCACCACAGACCUUCAGGUCCAUAGCUAGUAGCUAGAUGACUUCUUCUCUCUCUUGUAUCUUCAAUACAAAGUUCUCCAUGAUCUUCAUGGAGAUCUAUCCGAUGUAAUCUUCUUUUGUGGUGUGUUUGUCGAGAUCCGAUGAAUUGUGGAUUUAUGAUCAGAUUAUCUAUGAAUCUUAUUUGAGUUUCUUCUGAUCUCUUAUAUGCAUGAUUUCAUAUCCUUGUAAUUCUCUUCGAGUUGUGGGUUUUGUUUGGCCAACUUGAUCUAUGAUUCUUGCAAUGGGAGAAGUGCUUGGUUUUGGGUUCAUACCGUGUGGUGAUCUCACCCAGUGACAGAAGGGGUAGCGAGGCACGCAUGUGUUGUUGCCAUCAAGGGUAAAAAGAUGGCGUUUACAUCAUUGGUUUGAGUUUAUCCCUCUACAUCAUGUCAUCUUGCUUAAGGAGUUACUCUGUUCGUCAUGAACUCAACACACUAGAUGCAUGCUGGAUAGCGGUCGAUGUGUGGAGUAAUAGUAGUAGAUGCAUAAAGUAUAGGUCUACUUGUCUUGGACGUGAUGCCUACAUGUAUGAUCAUUGCCUUAGAUAUCGUCAUGAUUUUGCGCGGUUCUAUCAAUUGCUCGACAGUAAUUUUUUCACCCACCGUAAUAUUUUCUAUUUUGAGAGAAGCCUCUAGUGAACACUAUGGCCCCCGGGUCUAUUUCACACCAUAUUUUCAGCCUUUCACUUUUACUUCGUUGCACUUUCCGCCUUUAGAUCUCACUUUGCAAUCAAUCUUGAAGGGAUUGACAACCCCUUUAUAAAGUUGGGUGCAAGCUCGUUUGUGUUUGCGCAGGUACUCCGGACACUUGGCUUGAUUAUCCUACUGGAUUGAUACCUUGGUUCUCAAACUGAGCGAAAUACUUACUGCUCCUGUGCUGCAUCACCCUUUCCUCUUCAAGGGAAAAACCAACGCAAGCUCAAGAGGCAGCAGAAGGAUUUCUGGCGCCGUUGCCGGGGAUUUCUGGUGCCGUAGCAGAAGGAUUUCUGGCGCCGUUGUCUGGGAGGAUCAAGUUCUAGGUGAAGCUCAUCCAAGUAAGUGUCACAAACUCAUCUCUUGCAUUUACUUUUUUGCCUCUCGUUUUCCUCUCCCCCACUUCUGAAAAACAAAAAUUUACAAAAAUAUUUGCCUUUUUCAUUUGCCUUUCCUUUGCUCGUGUGCUAUGUGCCUUCAAUAUGCUUGCAUCUUCGCUUGCUGAAAAUCUAUUGAUAUGGAUCCUCAUUCACUUGCUAAUCUCUUUAAGAGAUCCAACUAUGUUGAACCAAUUGCUAGUGAGUUGAGUGCACUUGGCUUUCUCUAUGGAGUUUUGCUUGUGAUGCGUGAAUCUGAAAAUCGUGAUGAAGAAAUUUAUGAAGUGAUUCACGAAGGCUCCUUGAAUGAAAAGCAUCAUUGCAAUGGUUUUACUAUAAAUCCUAUUAGUGUCAAUCAUGCUAAAAAUAUGCAAAACCCUAAGCUUGGGGAUGCUAGUUUUGCUAUGUCCACUACUUGUUGCAAUGAUCAUGAUUGGGGUAAUGAUUUUUCUUAUGAUCUUGAAAAUUUGUUUAAGCCUCAUGAUGAUUAUGAUAUUUGCAAUAAUAUUGAAAGUGGGUUUGGAGAAGUCAUGACUUUAGUUGAUGAUAAUCCCACUAUUUUUGAAGAGCAUCAACUUUGCAUGCAUGUGGAUCAUAAAAAGAAUAUACUAUGUGAUAGCUAUAUUGUUGAAUUUGAACAUGAUCCCACAUGUAAUUGUUAUGAGAGAGGAAAAUAUUGUGGUAGAAACUUUCAUAUCACUAAAUCACCUCUCGUUAUGUCGAGAUUGCUAUUGUUUCUUUCUUCUUCCUUGCAUAUGGUAGUUAUUGUUUGUCUUGAUAAUUUGUUUCCCUAUAAAAUGCCUAUGCAUAGGAAGUAUGUUAGAAUUAGAUGUGAUUUUCACAUGCUUUAUGAUGCUCUCGUUGUGCUUCAAUUCUUGUCUUUUGUGUGAGCAUCAUUGAAUUAUCAAUGCCUAGCUAAGGGCGUUAAACAAUAGCGCUUGUUGGGAGUUAACCCAAUGAAUUUAUCUUUGCUUUUUGCUUUCUGUUUUGUUGUGUCCACACCAUCAUAAUUCUGUUAUGAUUAUGUCUUUUGUGUUGCUUUUUGUGUUUGAGCCAAGCAAAACCUUUACGACUAGUUUGGUGAUGGUUGUUUGAUCCUGCUGGAAAAAGACAGAAACUUUUCGCUCACGAAAUUAUUUUUAAUUUUUAUCCAGAAAGAGCUUUUGAGUUGAUUUUUUUGCUGCUGGUUGAUAUGCCUUUUUCCCAGGCGGUCGUAAUUUUUCAGAAUUUUUGAGAUACCAUAAGUAUACGAAGUAUACAGAUUGAUACAGACUGGUCUGUUUUUUACAGAUUCUGUUUUUUGUUGUGUUGGUUGCUUGUUUUGAUGAAACUAUGGAUAGUAUCGGGGGGUACUAGCCAUGGAAAAGUGAGAAUACAGUAAUAUAACACCAAUAUAAAUAGAAAUCAAGUUUUCUACAGUACCUAAAGAGGUGGUAGUUUGUUUUCUUGUGCUAAUGAUAUCACGAAUUUCUGUUUAAGUUUUGUGUUGUGAAGUUUUCAAGUUUUGGGUGAUGUUCUCAUGGACAAAGGGAUAAAGAGUGGAAAGAUCUCAAGCUUGGGGAUGCCCAAGGCAUCCCAAGCCAAAUUCAAGGACACCAAAAAGCCUAAGCUUGGGGAUGCCCCGGGAAGGCAUCCCCUCUUUCGUCUUCAAUCCAUCGGUAACACUACUUGGAGCUAUAUUUUUAUUCACCUCAUGAUAUGUGUUUUGCUUGGAGCGUCUUGUAUCGUAGGAGUAUUUUCUUUUUGUUGUGUCACAAUCAUCCUUGCUGCACACCUUUUGAGAGAGACAUGCAGUCGUCGUGAAUUUGCUACAAUACUCUUUGUGCUUCACUUAUAUCUUUUGAGCUAGACAAUUUUGCUCUAUGUGCUUCACUUAGAUCUUUUAGAGCACGGCGGUGCGUAACUUGGUAGUUGGCUGUGCUAUGAAAGUAGUCCCAAAGGUGAUAGGUACCCAAAGAGGAUACAACAAAACUUCCAUCUUCAUGUGCAUUGAGUAGAAACAGAAGUUUGAUUCCUCUCAAUUAGUUUUGAGAUGUGGAUUUGGUAAUAUUAAGAUUUAUGUUAGUAGGGUGUUGUGAAUAUAGAAAUACUUGUGUUGAAGUUAGUGAUUCCCGUAACAUGCACGUAUGGUGAACCGCUAUGUUAGGAAGUCAGAGCAUAAUUGAUCUAUUGAUUGUCAUCCUUUGUGUUGCGGCUGGGGUCGCGCGAUGGUUUACACCUACCAACCCUUCCCCUAGGAGUAUGCGUUUAGCACUUUGUUUCGAUUACUAAUAAAAACUUUCGCAAUAAGUAUGUGAGUUCUUCAUGACUAAUGUGAGUCCAUGGUAUAGAUGCACUUUCACCUUCCACCAUUGCUAGCCUCUCUAGUACCGCGCAAUUUUUGCCGGUGCACAAACCCACCAUAUGCCUUCCUCAAAACAGCCACCAUACCUACCUACUAUGGCAUUUUUAUAGCCAUUCCGAGAUAUAUUGCCAUGCAACUCCCAUCGUUCCGUCUCAUGACUUGUGCCGUCACUCUCAUAUUGCCAUUGCAUGAUCGUAAGAUAGCUAGCGAGAUGUUUCAACGUCAUACGCCAAGCUAGAUCGUUGCACAUCCCGGUACACCACCGGAGGCAUUUCCUAUAGAGUCAUCAUCGUUCUAAGCUUUGAGCUGUGAGUCAAUAAAAGUGUGAUGACCAUCAUUAUUAGAGCAUUGUCUCAUGUGAGGAAAUAAAAAAAGGAGGCCAAAGUUGCCCACAGAAAAAAAGAUAUGGAAAGAGGCCAAAGAGCCCCAAAAAAAGAGAGAAAAAGAGAGAAGGGACAAUGCUACUAUCUCUUUCCACACUUGUGCUUCAUAAUAGGACCAUGUUCUUCAUGAUUGAGAGUCUCUUGUUUUGUCACCACCAUAUGCUAGUGGGAAUUUUCAUUAUAUAACUUGGCUUGUAUAUUCCAAUGAUGGGCUUCCUCAAAAUUGCCCUAGGUCUUCAUGAGCAAGCAAGUUGGAUGCACACCCACUAAUUCUCUUUUUGAGCUUUCACAUACUUAUAGCUAUAGUGCAUCCAUUGUAUGGCAAUCCCUACUCAUUCACAUUGAUAUCUAUUAAUGGGCAUCUCCAUAGCCCUUUGAUACGCCGAGUCAAUGUGACCAUCUCCUUCUUUUUGUCUCACAACCUCCACCACACUCUAUUCCACCAUAGUGCUAUAUCCAUGGCUCGCGCUCAUGUAUUGCGUGAGAGUUGAAAAAGGUUUGAGAAAGUAAGAGUGCGAAAACAAUUACUUGGCCAAUACCGGGGUUGUGCAUGAUUUAAAUUAGUUGUGUGGGGAUGAUGGAGCAUAGCCAGACUAUAUGAUUUUGUAGGGAUAACUUUCUUUGGCCUUGUUAUUUCGAAAGUUCAUGAUUACCUUGCUAGUUUGCUUGAGGUAUUAUUGAUUUCAUGUCAAUAGCAAACUAUUGUUUUGAAUCUUAUGGAUCUGAACAUUCAUGUCACAUGAAAGAUGUUACAAAGGACAACUAUGCUAGGUAGCAUUCCACAUCAAAAAUUCAGUCUUUAUCACUUCCCUACUCGAGGACGAGCAAGAGUUAAGCUUGGGGAUGCUUGAUACGUCUCCAAUGUAUCUAUAAUUUUUGAUGGUUCCAUGCUAUUAUCUUGUCAAACUUUGGAUGUUUUGUAUGCCUUUUAUAUCUUUUUGGGACUAACUUAUUAACUCAGUGCCAAGUGCGAGUUCAUGUUUUUUCCGUAUUUUGACCCCUUUCACAGGAGGAUUUUAAAUGGUGUCCAAACGGAAUUAAACGUCCGAAAAGAUUUUUUCCGAAACAGAAGAUACGCACGGGACGUGAAAACCAAGGCAGAGGCCACCAUUGGACGCCACAAGCCCCCUAGGCGCGGCCAGGGGGGCCGCGCCUAGCAGGCUUGUGGGCCCUGUGUGGCUCGUCUGCCCUACCUCUUCCUCCUAUAAAUUCGUGAAAAAUCCAAAACUGUGCGAGAGAUCCACGAAAAUACUUUUCUGCCACUGCAAGCUUCUGUCUCCGCAAGAUCCCAGCUGGGGCACGUUCUGGUGCCCUGCCGGAGGGGGGGUUCGGAUACGGAGGGCUUCUUCAUUAACACCAUGACCUCUCCGAUGAUGCUUGAGUAGUUCACCAUAGAUCUUCGGGUCCAUAUCUAGUAGCUAGAUGGCUUCUUCUCUCUCUUGGAUCUUCAAUACAAAGUUCUUCAUGAUCUUCAUGCAGAUCUAUCCGAUGUAAUCUUCUUUUGCGGUGUGUUUGUUGAGAUCCGAUGAAUUGUGGAUUUACGAUCAGAUUAUCUAUGAAUCUUAUUUGAGUUUCUUCUGAUCUCUUAUAUGCAUGAUUUCAUAUCCUU
This 12187-nucleotide long non-coding RNA is filed under the name Hordeum vulgare. Its description in RNAcentral is "long non-coding RNA (HVUL_LNC021093)". The record is from RNAcentral. Lineage: Eukaryota; Viridiplantae; Streptophyta; Magnoliopsida; Poales; Poaceae.